GAUGUUUGGUUUAUAUGUCCAUUAUCACAGAUCCAGCACAAACUGAAGACAGUAGGACUGAUGGAUCAAUAUUCAGAGUGAUUGUGAUUAUUGUUGAGUUUGCAGUGUUUGCUGCUCCUACUGUGAUUCUUCUUCAGAUCAUCUGUGCAAGAAGAGCUGGGAUGAAGAACUUACAGCACUGAGAGGAAAUAGUGAAUAAAAUACUCUCUACUAAUAAAAGGCCAAAUUACAGCAAAAUGUAUCUUCAUCUCAGUGAUGUUAUGAA
This is a long non-coding RNA of Labeo rohita (rohu), 265 nucleotides long. RefSeq lists it as uncharacterized. The transcript has 3 exons. The record is from RefSeq and is a predicted model, not a curated record. Lineage: Eukaryota; Metazoa; Chordata; Actinopteri; Cypriniformes; Cyprinidae.